This 1137-nucleotide long non-coding RNA is filed under the name Citrus x clementina. Its description in RNAcentral is "Citrus clementina (C. clementina) long non-coding RNA (CCLE_LNC000163)". The record is from RNAcentral. Lineage: Eukaryota; Viridiplantae; Streptophyta; Magnoliopsida; Sapindales; Rutaceae.
UUAUCUCGCAACUCCAAAACCUGGUAAGUCUCUCGCAAAACCUGAAUUUAGAUGAAUGGACUUCAAACGAAAGGAUUUUCUUACAAAAGCUAAAAAAAUAUAACGGCAUGGUGAGAAUGGGAAAAUGAAAAUAGAAAGCAAAAGAAAAAGUUUCCAUCCGAUAAGACAAGUACAAAAUAAUCCAAGUUCUUAUUUGCCAUGCCAAUAUUAUUCAUGAAGAACUAAUCUGAUUUCUUUUCCAGAUAAGGUUAGUAACAAUUAAUCUGUAAAUAACUGAACCAACUUGGUUACUACGACAUUACUCUUUCGCUUCCGCACUCAUUUUCUGCACAGUUGCGGUUCAUCAACGGCCGCGUUCACCAAAACGAGUUCACUCUCCCCACUUCACUUAUUUCCCCACCGUUAUGUCUCUCCAAGUGCAGCAGCAAGACAUGAACUCCUAUCAUUAUAAGCAAUAUAAAAAGCCCUCCUAAAAAUCCACCACCUGUUUGGCCAGAGAAACUCCAUUACUCAUUUCCACACUCUCAAUUUUCAGCCCUUUCAUCAAACAAAAGCAUUACUUACCCAUGUUUAGACAUAACUGACUUCAGCACAUAAAUUACGACAAGCUGGUCAAUUCACGUAAACAAGGAAAAAUUAACUCAAUCAAGUGAAGUAGGCACAAAAUGACCUCAAUGAGACAUCAGAGACCUCUAAAAUCAAAUCAAAUUCAGUUAAACAAAGAAUCACUGAUCAAAGAUAAGCAAAAGAAAAAAAGCAAUGAAUAACAGAAAGAAAUUUCUUAUAAAAAUUCAAUAAAAUUAAAAAAAAAAGCUAAUCAUCUUUUCUGGUUAAGUGAUUUCGUCAGCAAAUAAGAGAAAAUAGAAAUUCUGGAAUAUACCUAGGGUUUCUAGCUUUGGGAAUUUACCUAAUGAGAAAUCAGUCUCUCUGUUUCUAGAUUUGUAACUAUCAUGGCCGAGCGACCACGAUCAGGUGAGAUAAUCGGAUUUUGCACCGGCGACGAUGCAAAUGUUUGGGUUUGGGGUUGGGUUUCGGUUUGACGAUAGACCAAGGAAUGUUAGGGCUUUGGGUGAUUUAAGGAUUUUAUUUAAUUCAAGUAAAGUGAAAAUAAUUGAAGUACCCCUAAGUUGGUUACGC